Long non-coding RNA from Ailuropoda melanoleuca (giant panda), 708 nucleotides. RefSeq lists it as uncharacterized. The record is from RefSeq and is a predicted model, not a curated record. The transcript is spliced from 3 exons. NCBI's taxonomy places the organism in Eukaryota, Metazoa, Chordata, Mammalia, Carnivora, Ursidae.
UUUGCCAGAACCAUGCUCCUGGCCUUCUCCUUCAUGCUAUUUCACUAAGACCCGAGCUGCUAGACAUUUCCAUAACCAUUCUGCACUUUCCAGUCUGCUUCAUGUAAUAGAUCCUCGUGUAGCUUGGCAAUCAGCAGGGCAUCAAAUCAGUGCAGGGCGAUCAUUGUGUCCAGCAACAUGAUGGAAGAUGUGGAGAGAUGAUAUCAUUGUCUACAGGGAAAGGGUGGAGAUGGCAGUCUUGGGGCCUCCCUGAGGACUGUUCUCACUACGUGUCUGUUGGCUCUGGAUUCCCAGGAAUGAUCCCUGACGAUACCAGAGACUGAGAGAACAACCUGACAGGCAACGUCACUGAGAUGGUGAGAGGAGCCCAGCCCCAGAGAGCAGUGGAAGAGGGUCCUUCCUGCACCAUAACAUGAGAUUUACUUUCUAUGACUUAUGUCUUCCAUGUGUCUACUGAAGAGUCAUCAAGCCAAUAAGAUGGUGUCUGCUGUGGCUGUGAUUUGAGACUGAUGUGUCUCCUGGGAGCUUCCCAACUUGACCAAUGUCUUCCUCUUCAGCCUUUGAACAGUCAUUAGUAGAAGAUUUAGUCACACUGAUGUGAAUUAAGUUUAAACUAGUGGCCUUGAGUUCUGAGGUGCUCAUGUUAGUUUUCGGAAGAAGAAAGUUUCUGUCUGGGAUCCUGCCUGCCUUUGGAGUAAGACUCACAAG